Molecule: RNA transcript, 4547 nt
Organism: Onychomys torridus (southern grasshopper mouse)
Lineage: Eukaryota; Metazoa; Chordata; Mammalia; Rodentia; Cricetidae
Gene: Rpe
Gene name: ribulose-5-phosphate-3-epimerase
Exons: 9
Source: RefSeq, a predicted model, not a curated record
UCGGGACGAAGUCUUGGCUGGCCCGGGCUCUCGUGGGCUCACUCGCUCUUGGGAACCGGCACCAUGGCGUCGGGCUGCAAGAUCGGCCCGUCCAUCCUCAACAGCGACCUGGCCAACCUGGGGGCCGAGUGCCUGCGCAUGCUGGACUCGGGGGCCGACUACCUGCACCUGGAUGCACCCUGCUCUUCAGGGAGGUCAGUUUUUUUGCAUUUUGUUCCCAAUAUCACUUUUGGCCAUCCUGUGGUUGAAAGCCUCCGAAAGCAGUUAGGCCAGGACCCUUUCUUUGAUAUGCACAUGAUGGUGUCUAGGCCAGAACAGUGGGUAAAGCCAAUGGCCGUGGCAGGUGCCAAUCAAUACACCUUUCAUCUUGAGGCAACUGAGAACCCGGGGGCUUUGAUUAAAGACAUCCGGGAGAAUGGGAUGAAGGUCGGCCUUGCCAUCAAACCAGGAACAACAGUUGAAUAUUUGGCCCCAUGGGCUAAUCAAAUAGAUAUGGCCUUGGUAAUGACCGUAGAACCUGGGUUUGGAGGGCAAAAAUUCAUGGAAGAUAUGAUGCCCAAGGUUCACUGGUUGAGGACCCAGUUCCCAACUUUGGAUAUAGAGGUCGAUGGUGGAGUAGGUCCAGACACUGUUCAGAAAUGUGCAGAGGCAGGAGCUAACAUGAUUGUGUCUGGCAGUGCCAUCAUGAAGAGUGACGACCCCAGAUCUGUUAUCAACUUACUAAGAAAUGUCUGUUCAGAAGCUGCUCAGAAACGCUCUCUUGAUCGAUGAAGCCACAGGAACCUGGGUGCUGCUCAUGAAAUCUUUUUUAUUGGAAAAGAGGAAUAUUAACUACCAAAUCACACUGAAUCGAAGCAGUGCUGCAUUCCAGUGAUUAAAAUCAAUUGUGCAGGAUGUUCAAGAGGUUAGAAAUAACUGCCUUUUUAGUGAUGCCAUUUAGAGAUUAGCGUGAUGAAAUAUUCAUGUUUAUAUUGGGAAAAUGAUUUUUGUAAAGAGUGAAAAUAUGGUUUAAGAUUAGACAGAAAUGUGUCUUAAUGCCUAAAGAGGAAAAUUAGCUACUAUGAAAACCAUUUUUCUGUAUUUUUAAAAAGAAUGUUCUGUUGUUUCCUGGUUUACCCCUAAAGCAAAUGACAUCCAUUUUCUCUGUUUCAUGUCAUUUGUGGUUUGUUUAUAUGCCUGAGAAUAUGAAUGGAAUGGGACAAAAAUUAGAAGCUUUGGUGUGGUGGCAUGUCAUGGUCUGGCAUCUGAAACAUUUUUACUUUUUAUCUUACACUUGGUUUAUUAAAGACUAUAAAAAUAAUGUAUGAGGCCUAGGGUUUCUGAAAUGCAAGCACAGACUUUAUCAAGGUAUUUUCUUUGUCACAGUAGGCUACUUAGUAAUUCCUUCCUGCUUCUGGCUCACACUCAACUACCAUUCUUAGGGCUGUGAAAUAAUACUGUUGUGGCAGCUCUGAGCAGAAAGGAACCAUACAGUCUCUCUUGGAAGCUCCACUGGGCUGAAUCCAGGUUGGCUCCAUUCUAGAUCUUUGAUUUUAAGAAAAGUCACCCCAACCUGUUUUCACUAUCAACUCUUACGUCUGUUGAAUGGAACCAUAAUUACUGUGGGUUGAUAAUUAAAAGUGUUAACAUGAUACUAGAUAGCCUAUAGUUCUACUCUUAGACUGUAAGGGAUGCUCAACACAAAAUGGCAAGCAUUGUCUGUUUUGUGAGUUAUUAAGAACUUUGUGCUUAAUUAACUCCUAGAUUGUCUAUAAUUGUUAGCAGGUACUUUUUGGGCUGGUACAUAGAAAGGGUCCAGUAAAAGCAGGCUUUCUGGUAUGUCCUAUUGCUCUGACUACAGGUGGCUCCUGAGAGAUAGGUUAGAAAGAAGAAAGGUUUUGUUGUUUUUUUUUUUUAAACUUUAUUUUUAGUGUAACUAUACUUUCUAGCAGAAUCAGAGUAAGUAAAGAAUACUCUGGAAAUACAGAUGGGUACCCCCAAGGAGGUUUAUAUAAUUUCUAAGAAAGAAGAAGUAGGCUAAGAGAAGACAGGAUACAGACUUCAUCCAUGAACUAAGUAUUAAUAACAGUGUUCCCAGUUAUCAGAAAACUGGAAAUACGUAUCGCCAAGUUCACUCUCAUUCUUGACUAUGACAAGAACACAAGCAGUAUCAUUAAUUUCUUCAGGCUACUAUGAGUUUUGAGAAAUAAGGUUUUAAAAAAAUAAGGAAAUAAGGACACUGACAAACUUAGGCAUGGAGCAGAGAUUGAUGGGGCUUCUUCCUGCCCUAUAAGGUAAAGUUUUUUAAUACUUGUUUUUAUUUUGGCUUAGGAAAAGUUUGUGCCACGAGUAAUAAUAGCAUUUAAUCAAAUCACACAAUACAAGGCAUAUAGAAAUAACUUUAAUUAAAAAACUAUGUAGAAGAUUAUAAUAUCAGUCAUGACAAAGAUUUGAAUUAUUGGCUGGGACAACUUGUAUUUUUCUGGCUUUUGUUAUCUUUUUCUUUAAAAAUAAAUGUACAGUAAAACUAUAAGCAAAAGUUUGUAAGUAUUGAAUUUGAAUGGUUCCCCACCCCCCAUUUGCAGGGACCAGUUUAAUUUCUAAUUCUCAACAAAACCUUAAGUAUCUAAUCCCACAGACCCUAAGCCCAGUGGCCAGGAUUUUCAGUAUUUAUGGGAACUACAAAUUGAGUAACCUUUCUUUGCAUAACAAAAAGUGGUUGAUACAAAUUGUCCUUAACUUUCAUCUAGAGAAAAUGGUAUUAUAGCUCCAAAAAGAAUUUUCCUUAAUGUACACUCCUCAGUAUUCUAUAUUAAAGUCUUAGUCUUUGAAAAAAAAAACUUGAAUUCUUGAUCUAGGAGCCUAUUAAGAGUAGGUAUUUGAGUAAGCUAUGGCAAGGAGAAACCAAAUUAGAAGCUUCUAGCUGUACGUUUGCUAGAAUUACAACCAUAUUAUGAUUUGUGUGCUGUUCUACAUUUUAAAUUGCUGUCUUGAAGAGGUACGUAAAGCAAGUAAAACUCAGGGUGAAUUUUCAAAGACGAUAGUUUUAAAAUGUAUCAAUAUAUUAAACUCUAAGUUGCUUCUCUUAAUUCUGUUAGGAGUAAGCAGAAAGUCUGUGGUUAGUCCAAGAGAGAACAAUGAUUUCAAAUAAAUGAAUAUUGUAUUAUCUGAUAUAAGAAUUUCCAUAAAUAACUUAUAUUGGUUAAACAAUUUUUAGAAUAAAAGAAAAAACAACUCCCUUUCCGUAGUCAAAGCUUUCAGAUGUCUAUUAUCAGUCCACACCUGUGCUAGAUAUUCAUGGCAACUUACAUUGCAUAGAGUAGUUCAUAUAUGCAGUUUUAAGACUGCAUGUGUGCAUGUGUGUGUAUAUAUUCUGUAUACACACUAGUAUAUUCUCAUAUUACUGAGGCAAUUUUAAUGAACUGCCAUGAGAAUAGAAACAAAGAAUAGUUGUCAUCUGAUGCACAUCAACUGUACUGUCAGGGAGGGGCUCUUAACAGUUACCCCCUAGUGUGAUUUCGCAUCAAAUUGCAGCAGUGCUUGUGACCUGUAUUAUUGACAAACACAAGUUACUAGCGUUUGUGUAGGUGAAAAGCUAGCUACUUCUGUGAUUCAGGAAAAAACCUUCUCUGGCCUGUUUUAUGAACAGUGAAAGAUGGAUACAUGCAGUACAUCCUCCUUGUCUGGAAUUGUGGCCAGAGGAGCGGGAGAUUCAGAAGAGGAUUUAGGUUUUUCUUCCUCUUUUCCUGUCAGUUACAUAGUUUUCAUAAUUUGUCCCCUGUCACCUAUUUCUUUUAACAUUAGUAACUCCUAUACCAAAGGUUGUGUGCUCUUCCGUUCCCUCUAACUGCAUUUUUGGAGGGUGGCCAUUCUCUGGUGUAGCUCUACAGAAGACGUCGUCGCGGAAGGCUGUGCUUGCCCCCUCAGUCUGAUCCUUUCUUUCAUCUUGGCAUAAUAAGGCUGCAGUGUCCUCAUCCUUCAGUGGAAAAGCUCGCCGUUCCCACCGCAAAGACUGAAAGGGGAAACAUUUUCAGGAGAAGACUUCAUCAGAAAGAUCUUCUAUCUGUGCCAUUUCCAUAUCAGAGAGACUGCUUUUGUUGUUGCUAUCAAACGUAGCUGCCUUCCUUGACAGUGGACAUAGAUCCAUGCAUGGAACCGAGGAGUGCCUUAGUCCACUUCUUUGCUAGCUCACCCUUCAUGUAUAAACUAUUCCAAACCUCCAUGUCUGGCUAGACCUUGCACACUUGUAUCUAUGUAAAUAACCAUUUUUACCUUUUGGAUUAUUUUCCUAUAUAUUCCCUUUCAUUUUUCUAUUUGAUUUUUUUAUUGCUGAAUUAGAGAUAAAUCAGAAACUCAUUUUUGUUUGCAAACAUUACUGUCUUAACAGUGAGAGUACACAUGCAAAUAGUUGAGUUUUUCUUUGAAUUCUUUGCAACCAAGUAUAGACCUCUAUCAUGAAAGGCAAGAGCUGUUUGUUGUAAUGUUUACACUGCUGAAAUACCAUGUUAAUAAAUAUACUUCAUAGAUACUUAAAUAUAACUAAAUAAAAAUCAAUUGUGAAUGCUAAA